AUUGAACGCUGGCGGAAUGCUUUACACAUGCAAGUCGAACGGCAGCACGGGGGCAACCCUGGUGGCGAGUGGCGAACGGGUGAGUAAUACAUCGGAACGUGCCCAGUCGUGGGGGCUAACGUAGCGAAAGUUACGCUAAUCCCGCAUACGCUCUACGGAUGAAAGCGGGGGACCGUUCGGCCUCGCGCGAUUGGCGCGGCCGAUGUCAGAUUAGGUAGUUGGUGAGGUAAAGGCUACCCAAGCCGACGAUCUGUAGCUGGUCUGAGAGGACGACCAGCCACACUGGGACUGAGACACGGCCCAGACUACUACGGGAGGCAGCAGUGGGGAAUUUUGGACAAUGGGCGCAAGCCUGAUCCAGCCAUUCCGCGUGCAGGACGAAGGCCUUCGGGUUGUAAACUGCUUUUGUACGGAACGAAAAGGCUCUGGUUAAUACCUGGGGCUCAUGACGGUACCGUAAGAAUAAGCACCGGCUAACUACGUGCCAGCAGCCGCGGUAA
This 500-nucleotide ribosomal RNA is filed under the name uncultured bacterium. Its description in RNAcentral is "partial 16S ribosomal RNA". It matches the Rfam family "Bacterial small subunit ribosomal RNA", at positions 30 to 523 of the family's 1533-position model. The record is from RNAcentral.